GCUGGCGGCGUGCCUAACACAUGCAAGUCGAACGCGAAAGUGGAGCAAUCCAUGAGUAGAGUGGCAAACGGGUGAGUAACACGUGGGUGACCUGCCUUCGAGCGGGGGAUAACGUCCCGAAAGGGACGCUAAUACCGCAUGACAUCCUGUCUUUUAAGAGAUGGAGAUCAAAGCCGGGGAUCGCAAGACCUGGCACUCGGAGAGGGGCCCGCGCCUGAUUAGCUAGUUGGUGGGGUAACGGCUCACCAAGGCAACGAUCAGUAUCCGGCCUGAGAGGGCGGACGGACACACUGGGACUGAGACACGGCCCAGACUCCUACGGGAGGCAGCAGUGGGGAAUUGUUCGCAAUGGGCGCAAGCCUGACGACGCAACGCCGCGUGGAGGAUGAAGAUCUUCGGGUCGUAAACUCCUUUCGAUCGAGACGAAUUCCUUCGGGGUGAACAAUCCCGAGGGGUGACGGU
This 462-nucleotide ribosomal RNA is filed under the name uncultured soil bacterium. RNAcentral describes it as "bacterial SSU rRNA". It matches the Rfam family "Bacterial small subunit ribosomal RNA", at positions 35 to 476 of the family's 1533-position model. The record is from RNAcentral.